GAGGAUGUAGCUCAGUGGCUGAGUUUGUGCUUAGCAUGCAUGAGGUCCUGGGUUCAAUCCCCAGUACCUGCA
Molecule: transfer RNA, 72 nt
Filed under: Camelus bactrianus (Bactrian camel)
Lineage: Eukaryota; Metazoa; Chordata; Mammalia; Artiodactyla; Camelidae
Also listed under: 2 other names
Rfam family: tRNA
About the family: Transfer RNA (tRNA) molecules are approximately 80 nucleotides in length. Their secondary structure includes four short double-helical elements and three loops (D, anti-codon, and T loops).
Source: Rfam by way of RNAcentral